GGAAUAUUGGACAAUGGGCGAAAGCCUGAUCCAGCCAUGCCGCGUGGGUGAAGAAGGCCCUAGGGUUGUAAAUCCCUUUCAGCGGGGAAGAUAAUGACGGUACCAGCAGAAGAAGCCCCGGCUAACUCCGUGCCAGCAGCCGCGGUAAUACGGAGGGUGCUAGCGUUGUUCGGAAUUACUGGGCGUAAAGCGCACGUAGGCGUGCUGUUAAGUCAGUGGUGAAAUCCCGAGGCUCAACCUCGGAAUUGCCUUUGAUACUGGCAGCCUUGAGUUCGAGAGAGGUGAGUGGAAUUCCGAGUGUAGAGGUGAAAUUCGUAGAUAUUCGGAGGAACACCAGUGGCGAAGGCGGCUCACUGGCUCGAUACUGACGUUGAGGUGCGAAAGCGUGGGGAGCAAAC
This 398-nucleotide ribosomal RNA is filed under the name uncultured bacterium. Its description in RNAcentral is "bacterial SSU rRNA". It matches the Rfam family "Bacterial small subunit ribosomal RNA", at positions 358 to 773 of the family's 1533-position model. The record is from RNAcentral.